ACCCUAGUUAUUAUCGUUCAACAAGCUAUAGGGUUUCAUCAUUCUCUCGGCCCUCUCCUAUUCUUCAAUUCCAGAUCUCGUUCGUAACUUUUGUCAAACUUUGAUCGAUACCAGAUCUGUAAAGUUCCGAUGGAGAUCUUCAAGCCGAUGGUGGUUUUGAUUAGAACCGAAUCUUCCUCCAUAAGAUCUAGACUGCCGAGGUGCGAUAUUCACGUUUGUAUUGGUGUUUGGAAUCUAUGGUCCUUUGUUCAUCCCUAAAUCAAGGAUCUCGAGAUUUUUUUUGCAGGUAUGGUGGUAGAUCGAUGAGCAAAUCGCAGAUCCAGUGUUGAAUUUUUCUGGUUUUGCCUUUGAUGAUAGAUCGUAGAUCCAGUGUUGAAUUUUGCUGGUUUUGCCAUCGAUGACAGAUCGUAGAUGCACCGGCGUUUGAUUUCAUGAAGCCGCUACGAGGCAUGAUUCAAGAUUGACGUCUUCCAGAUUAUCAGAUCUCGGUUCUUGUAAUUAUGUAUUUGAUUGUGAGCUUUACCGGUGCGAGUUUCAUGGAUGUAUGUAGGUUGUUUCAGGAUAUCUUAAUUCGCUAAGCGAUUUGAGAAUUGGAUCUGAUUGAUCUUGUCAUCCGACCUUUGCCAUGUCAGGUGCGCUUGCUUGGCAGGUCAAAAAAAUAAUAAAAAAAGAUUUAUUGGUUUUGGGGAAGAUCGCACGGGUUUUUGCCCGGUGUCUUCUCUCGUGUGUGGUGUUUUGCUUUGCUCUUUUUUCUUAUCUCUAUUGCUUCGUUAUCGUAUAACCUCUAGACGGGAUGGAUUCAUAGGAGGAUUUCUCACGCUCCAUAACAAAGUGCACAUCAAGGUAUUAUCCUAAUUUCAGUCAAAUCAUAUCAAAUUCAAUCAUACUCCAUUAAUUUCAAUUAAUGAAAACAGUGAGUUAUAUUUAAAAUUGGACAGGAAGUUAAUAUCAACAAAUUCUCUUGUACAGUAAGAUUUAUCAUCCAAAAUCAACAAAUUCAAAGUCGUUUAUAUUUUAUUUUUUAAAAUUCUUAAUAUCUUUGAUUGAAAAUAAUUUUGAAUAGAUUGUGUCGUUACUCCUUGCUAUGUUUUUACCAUAGUUAUAGUAUAAUGCUGUAAACGUGUUAUUUCUACCAUAGUUAUAGUAUACUGUUAUCUUAUGUAUAUUGUAUUUACCGUGUCACAUAAACUAUUUAGUUAUAGUUCCUUUGCUAGGAAUUUAAUGUAUAUGUUUUCCGGCAAAUAUCUUUGUAAGGAACUCCCAUUGCAAACUUUGGUGAAGGCAGUUAAAACUUCAUAUGAACUUGUAGCAAUAUCAAAUUUUGAAAUCUAACGAAGAGGAAAGCUUCGGGUGAAUUUUUGGCAUUAACAAUUCAUGGAUUCGUUAAAGCACACUGAGCGCAUACUCGUCUGUAAGAAAGGAUUUUUAUUGGUCAACAUUUGAAUAUUUUUCAAUUGGUAAAAAAAAUUAAUUGGCUUUUGGAAUGGAAUAAUAAUUUGAAAUUUUGGUCAUAUAUCGAUAUUAAAUUAAUACUGCAUAUAUGACCAAAAUAAGAAAUGUAACUAUUGCUCAUUGUGAAGUGUAUUCAACCCAUUUUGAAGUGCACGAACUCAGGUGAAUUAUUUUAAUAGAAGCAACAUUUAUUGAUGGAGUUAAAUGGUACACCAACAUUUUGUUACAUCUCUCAUCAUCUUAGUGUCAAGAAAGAUCUGUAGCUCAAACCGGUAGAGCGCUCCGAGUAUUUUGUAUAUAUCUCUGAAAUGUGGUGGUUCGAAUCCACCCAGAUCUGCAAUUUAAUUUAUUCAAGUUAAGAUCCUGUCUAAAAUAAAUAUAAAAGAUAUUGUUGGAAAAAUUUGGUUACAAAGGAAAGGGAGGUCAAUUUGGGUCAUGAUCUGUUUGAUUGAAGAGUUGAUGUUGGGGUUCUGUUUCUUGUGCCUCAAGUUGUUUCUCAUAAUCCAAAAUUGGUUUAUGACAAAGAUCACAACAACUUUCAUGACUAGACUGCACUGUUUGGAACUGCUACUAUUACCGUGAUACAACCAAUCAUACAAAGAUACUAGUGGAAGUUGGUUAGGGACUUUGAUGGAGGUAUGCCAAUACUCCAGAUUUGAAUGUCCGCUUCUUUUAGGCUAAACAGGCUGGAUCUGAGUUGGCCUAUAUCAUGUAGUUGUUGUUGCUGCCAGCCAAGCUUGGUACUUGGGAUAGCUUGUUGAUCAAGAAAAGAUUCCAAAAUUUGAGGGACAUACCUGUUCCUAUUCUUGGGAAGGAUAGCCCAAGCUUCAUUGAUAUCCCAACCAAGCUUGAUAGGGGUGUAAUCGGAUCGGUUUGGACCGAUUUUUGGUUGAAAAAAGGUCCGAACCAAUGAUAUUUCCAUCGGUUUGGUUUGGUUCGGUUUUCAACAUUUCAAAAAUGGAACCGAACCAAACUAACCGGUUUGGUUCAGUUUGGUUUGGUUUGGUUGAUCGGUUUACAAUAUUUAUUUUUUAAAAUAUUAUAUUCAUCCGUAUAUUCUCCAUUAUCGUGUUUUUUGGUGUAUUUUAUACUAUUAUUUUUUUAAACAUUAUCUUCAUCUGUAUAUUCUCCAUUAUCGUAUUUUUGGUGUAUUUUAUACUAUUAUUUUUUAAAAUAAUAUGUUUCAUGCUAUAUUUGUUCAAACAAAUUACAAGUUGCUCUUAUUCCAUACGAAAUAGUGACAUCAUUUCCUUUGCAAGUUUCCUAUCAAAUAUAAAAGUUAACACUUAGUAUCAGAAAGUUGGAAAGGGAUUUCAAAGCUUAACAUAUAGAAUAUAACAAAACACACAUUCAUUAACAUGUUUCACACCUCAAACACACAUCAAAACUAUUUUGUAACAAGAUCUAAAUGAGUUUUGAUGAAGAAAAAGAAGAAAAAAAAGGUACAAAAAUAUAUGAAAAUUAACAAAGAGAACUUGAAUACGAAGAAUAAAUGAGUUUUGAUGAAGAAAAAGAAGAAAAAAAAGGUACAAAAAUAUAUGAAAAUUAACAAAGAGAACUUGAAUACGAAGAAGACGACCAUAACAUAUCAUAAUGACAGUAGUGAAAGGAACAAUAGUUGUGGGCAGCAAGAGCAGCAGUUCUGUGAAAGCAUAACUUUUGUGACUUAUGGUUUCUAUUGUCUAUGCUUUAGAGUUUGAUUCUAGAUGCGUGUUUUGCUUAAAGGAAGGAAGUGUAAACAAAGAUGGAUAAUAGUUGGACCGAUAAAAAAAUUGAGUUUAAUGAUGGGUAGAAUAAAAUAUUUAAAGCGUCAUUAUUUCCAUUGGUUCGGUUCAUCGGAUUGGCGGUUCCUAAAAUCUAAAUCCGAGAACCGAACCAAACCACAUCGGUUUUUAUUGGUUUGGUUCGGUUUUUAAACCAAACCAAUAAUAAUCGGUUUAAUUUCGGGUUGGUUUGGUUUGGAUUGUCGGUUUAAUUGGAUUUUUUUGACCCGCUUACACCCCUAAAGCUUGAGGUUGGUGUCUUCAUUAAGACAGAUUAAAGACCUUAAGCCUAGCCCUCCAUUAGCAUUAGGUUGACAAGUUUUUUUCCAGUCCACCACAACAAGCUUCCUGUUAUUGAUGUCUCCACUUCAUAUAAGUUUGUGCGAGCUUUUUCUAUUCUUUUUAGGGGGGGUACAAGCCAUGAAUAUAUUGUGAUUGUACAUGUUAUCAUACUUUAAAUGAUGGAUUUUACCAGUUAUUUCUGCCUGCCAUAUAUAAAGAAGCUCAUUUUCAA
Vicia villosa (hairy vetch) is the source of this 3729-nucleotide long non-coding RNA. RefSeq lists it as uncharacterized. NCBI's taxonomy places the organism in Eukaryota, Viridiplantae, Streptophyta, Magnoliopsida, Fabales, Fabaceae. The transcript is spliced from 5 exons. The record is from RefSeq and is a predicted model, not a curated record.